This 510-nucleotide ribosomal RNA is filed under the name Drosophila eurypeza. RNAcentral describes it as "partial 16S ribosomal RNA". The stretch from base 386 to 510 matches the Rfam family "Bacterial large subunit ribosomal RNA", at positions 2473 to 2597 of the family's 2925-position model. The record is from RNAcentral. Lineage: Eukaryota; Metazoa; Arthropoda; Insecta; Diptera; Drosophilidae.
GUCUUUUUGUAUUUAAUUUAAAGUCUAACCUGCCCACUGAAAGUUUUGAAUGGCCGCAGUAUUCUAACUGUGCAAAGGUAGCAUAAUCAUUAGUCUUUUAAUUGAAGGCUGGAAUGAAUGGUUGGACGAGAUAUUAACUGUUUCAUUUAAAUUUUUUGUAAAAUUUUAUUUUUUAGUCAAAAAGCUAAAAUAAAUUUAAAAGACGAGAAGACCCUAUAAAUCUUUAUAUUUUAUUUAUUUUAAUUAUAAAGAUUAUUUUUGUUAUUAUAAAUUAAAGUAUUUUAUUGGGGUGAUAUUAAAAUUUAAAAAACUUUUAAUUUUUAAAAUCAUUAAUUUAUGAAUAAUUGAUCCAUUAAUAAUGAUUAAAAAAUUAAGUUACUUUAGGGAUAACAGCGUAAUUUUUUUGGAGAGUUCAUAUCGAUAAAAAAGAUUGCGACCUCGAUGUUGGAUUAAGAUAUAAUUUUGGGUGUAGCUGUUCAAAUUUUAAGUCUGUUCGACUUUUAAAUUCUU